RNAcentral lists this ribosomal RNA (468 nucleotides) under uncultured bacterium. Its description in RNAcentral is "partial 16S ribosomal RNA". It matches the Rfam family "Bacterial small subunit ribosomal RNA", at positions 28 to 507 of the family's 1533-position model. The record is from RNAcentral.
GACGAACGCUGGCGGCGUGCUUAACACAUGCAAGUCGAACGGAAAGGCCCUGCUUUUGUGGGGUGCUCGAGUGGCGAACGGGUGAGUAACACGUGAGUAACCUGCCCUUUACUUUGGGAUAACUUCAGGAAACUGGGGCUAAUACCGGAUAGGAGCUCCUGCUGCAUGGUGGGGGUUGGAAAGUUUCGGCGGUUGGGGAUGGACUCGCGGCUUAUCAGCUUGUUGGUGUAGUAGUGGCUUACCAAGGCUUUGACGGGUAGCCGGCCUGAGAGGGUGACCGGCCACAGUGGGACUGAGAGACGGACCAGACUCCAACGGGAGGCAGCAGUGGGGAAUAUUGCAAAAUGGGGGGAAGCCAGAUGCAGAAACGCCGCGAGCGGGAUGACGGCCUUCGGGUUGUAAACCGCUUUCGCAUGUGACGAAGAGUGAGUGACGGUAAUGGGUAAAGAAGCACCGGCUAACUACGUG